AUGCACGCGGGUUUUGCUGUCAGGGAAGGCUCCAAGUUUAAGACCAGAGCCUACCUUUAUUGCACGUGCUAUGGAGUCUAUCAUUCGAAGGUGUCUGAAGCAAAUAGACAGCGGAACAAAACGACAGCCAGGACUAACUGCAGGGCUAAAAUGAGGCUGAAGAUUGAAAAGGAUGGAACACUUAUCAUAAAAGAGAUAGUCUGGGAACACAACCACAGGCUACAGCUCACUCCGCAAAUGCUUGUCUUGCACUCCCACAAAAACUUUGAUAAAACAAUCUUGGAUUACGUCAAGUACCUGCAGUUCAAAGGCAUUGAACACGCGCAAAUCAUGAGCAUACUAGGCGGUGAUGACCCUAGUAGCUACUUCCUUGAAAUGAAUGCCAAAGACCUGAUUAACCUGAAAGCAAAAAAUUCAAGGAUGGAUGAUGUGGACGAUGUCCUAAAGACUGUCAACUUCUUUAGGGAGAUGAAAGCUAUAAACAGGGAAUUCUUCUGUGACAUGCAACUCGAUGAGUCCGAUAGAGUUAAGAACAUAUUCUGGGCGAAUGCAAGCUGCCGAGGGGCCUAUCAGGACUUCGGUGACUGCGUAACAUUUGACACCACAUAUAAGACCAACAAGUACCAUAUGCCACUUGGGGUGUUUGUCGGUACUAACAACCACUUCCAGACUACAUUCUUUGGUUUCGCCCUGAUAAGAGAUGAGGAUGCAGAAUCAUUCAGAUGUUAUCAGUGCCCAGCAAUGGCUUUGGCGAUACCAAAAGUUUUCAAGAACACAAUACACAAGCUGUGCCGCUGGCACAUUAUGAAGAAGUACAGGGAACACGUCACAUACCUGUACUACCUGCACGAAGACUUCAACGAAGAAUUCACAUCAAUCCUCAACUGGCCCCUCAUGCCAACUGAGUUUGAGGAUGCCUGGAAAGGACUCAUCGAUAGGUACAACCUCCAUGAUGUUGCCACGAUGCUGGCCAUGUGGAAUGAGCGUGAGAAAUGGAUAUCAGCCUACUUCAAAGAAAUUUUCUGCACCAAAAUGACAUCCACACAGCGAAGUGAGAGCAUGAACUAUGUGCUCAAGAAGAACUUUGUAAGUGAGAGACAAAACCUACACCGUAAAACUUUAUUAGUUAGACAAGUUUUUUCUACGAGAAAACUAACAAUUUGGUCAUCAUUCUUGUAUGUGCAGAAGGAACAAAACACGCUGACCUUCUAUGGGUUUGACACCCAGAUGGCAAAGGUUUACUCGCGAGCUGUGUACAGUGAGAUCAGAAAAAGGCUAAAACUAAGCACACUCUUCACGAAGACAGAGACGGAAGAGACCACAAAGUACCUCAUGCGCUACAACAACCCGCAAAAACUGUCUGCAUGGUCUCAGCACGCGUUCCAGGUGGUUGCAGACCCUGUGGGAUAA
Molecule: ribosomal RNA, 1410 nt
Filed under: Triticum aestivum (bread wheat)
Lineage: Eukaryota; Viridiplantae; Streptophyta; Magnoliopsida; Poales; Poaceae
Description: partial small subunit ribosomal RNA
Source: RNAcentral